CCGACCUCCGCUCUGGCGUGUAUAGCUUGGAUGAGAAAACGCACCGAGAUCUCGUGAAAGCAGUACGCGCUAAAGUCAAGCGGCAGAUAAAAAUGCCCAAGUUCAGGAGGCGGAGCUCAUCCGGAGAUCAUCGUGGAAACCCAAGUUCACACCGUCCAAUGUGGUUUGCAAAUGCACUCCAGGUGCUAGAGAAUUUAAGGAGCGAAUGGCAUGUUGGGCGGAGCAGGAUUUGUUCAGAUGCGCAAGCGACAUUGAUAGGACGAGGGAAGUGGUGCUGCGGUUUGAAGCCCGGAUUGUUGAAGAGCUCGAGGACGACUUGCUGUGCAGCAAGCUGCUGCAGGAGAGGCCAGGCGAAAUGGAUUCCCGACGUGUAUAACCAACUGGUGGAGUGGAUCGAGGGUGCACCAUCGCGAGAUUGAGAUUAAAGAUUACAAGCUGCUGCGGGAUUACAAGGCGCAGGAGGGAGCAGCGCAGGAGAUCGUGGCGAGGAGGUGUGAGCCCAUUGAUUUUGAGGAAGAGAGAGGGAUGUUUAGACACAUGAGGAGUAGCCGCCGCCAGGUAUAUGCUCUACCGGAUCAGUUUCGGUAGAGAGAGAUGAUCGAUGAUUCAUAAUACAGAGAUUUAUAAGAUGUUGAGCGCAUUUGUGGUCAA
Molecule: long non-coding RNA, 651 nt
Organism: Selaginella moellendorffii
Lineage: Eukaryota; Viridiplantae; Streptophyta; Lycopodiopsida; Selaginellales; Selaginellaceae
Exons: 2
Source: RefSeq, a predicted model, not a curated record